RNAcentral lists this ribosomal RNA (429 nucleotides) under Chloroflexota bacterium. RNAcentral's name for it is "Chloroflexi bacterium partial 16S ribosomal RNA". It matches the Rfam family "Bacterial small subunit ribosomal RNA", at positions 355 to 776 of the family's 1533-position model. The record is from RNAcentral. Lineage: Bacteria; Bacillati; Chloroflexota.
UGGGGAAUAUUGCACAAUGGGCGCAAGCCUGAUGCAGCCAUGCCGCGUGUGUGAAGAAGGCCUUCGGGUUGUAAAGCACUUUCAGCGGGGAGGAAGGCGAUAAGGUUAAUAACCUUGUCGAUUGACGUUACCCGCAGAAGAAGCACCGGCUAACUCCGUGCCAGCAGCCGCGGUAAUACGGAGGGUGCAAGCGUUAAUCGGAAUUACUGGGCGUAAAGCGCACGCAGGCGGUCUGUCAAGUCGGAUGUGAAAUCCCCGGGCUCAACCUGGGAACUGCAUUCGAAACUGGCAGGCUAGAGUAUUGUAGAGGGGGGUAGAAUUCCAGGUGUAGCGGUGAAAUGCGUAGAGAUCUGGAGGAAUACCGGUGGCGAAGGCGGCCCCCUGGACAAAGACUGACGCUCAGGUGCGAAAGCGUGGGGAGCAAACAGG